UUCCGGUUGAUCCUGCCGGACCUGACUGCUAUCGGAUUGAUACUAAGCCAUGCGAGUCAUUGUAGCAAUACAAGGCAUACGGCUCAGUAACGCGUAGUCAACCUAACCUAUGGACGGGAAUAACCUCGGGAAACUGAGAAUAAUGCCCGAUAGAACAUUAUGCCUGGAAUGGUUUAUGUUCCAAAUGAUUUAUCGCCGUAGGAUGGGACUGCGGCCUAUCAGUUUGUUGGUGAGGUAAUGGCCCACCAAGACUAUUACAGGUACGGGCUCUGAGAGGAGUAGCCCGGAGAUGGGUACUGAGACACGGACCCAGGCCCUAUGGGGCGCAGCAGGCGAGAAAACUUUGCAAUGUGCGAAAGCACGACAAGGUUAAUCCGAGUGGUUUCUGCUAAAGAAACCUUUUGUCAGUCCUAGAAACACUGAUGAAUAAGGGGUGGGCAAGUUCUGGUGUCAGCCGCCGCGGUAAAACCAGCACCUCAAGUGGUCAGGAUGAUUAUUGGGCCUAAAGCAUCCGUAGCCGGCUCUGUAAGUU
This 532-nucleotide ribosomal RNA is filed under the name uncultured marine group I thaumarchaeote. Its description in RNAcentral is "bacterial SSU rRNA". It matches the Rfam family "Archaeal small subunit ribosomal RNA", at positions 1 to 539 of the family's 1478-position model. Lineage: Archaea; Thermoproteati; Nitrososphaerota. The record is from RNAcentral.